CUUUUACAACGAAGAGUUUGAUCCUGGCUCAGGAUGAACGCUAGCGGGAGGCUUAACACAUGCAAGUCGAGGGGCAGCAUUUCUAGCUUGCUAGAAGAUGGCGACCGGCGGACGGGUGCGUAACGCGUAUGCAACUUGCCUAUAACUAAGGGAUAACUCAGAGAAAUUUGCGCUAAUACCUUAUGUGAUCAUAAUGACGCAUGUUAUAAUGAUUAAAGAAUUUCGGUUAUAGAUAGGCAUGCGUCCUAUUAGCUAGUUGGUAAGGUAACGGCUUACCAAGGCGACGAUAGGUAGGGGGCCUGAGAGGGUGAUCCCCCACACUGGUACUGAGACACGGACCAGACUCCUACGGGAGGCAGCAGUGAGGAAUAUUGGUUAUUGGAG
This 384-nucleotide ribosomal RNA is filed under the name Flavobacteriales bacterium. RNAcentral's name for it is "bacterial SSU rRNA". It matches the Rfam family "Bacterial small subunit ribosomal RNA", at positions 1 to 376 of the family's 1533-position model. The record is from RNAcentral. Lineage: Bacteria; Pseudomonadati; Bacteroidota; Flavobacteriia; Flavobacteriales.